UGCAACACACGUGCCCUGGACAGGUGGGA
This 29-nucleotide non-coding RNA is filed under the name Homo sapiens (human). Lineage: Eukaryota; Metazoa; Chordata; Mammalia; Primates; Hominidae. The record is from RNAcentral.